Molecule: transfer RNA, 65 nt
Filed under: Nothochrysa sp. YTD-2015
Lineage: Eukaryota; Metazoa; Arthropoda; Insecta; Neuroptera; Chrysopidae
Description: tRNA-Asp
Source: RNAcentral
AAAAAGUUAGUUAAUUUAUAACAUAAAUAUGUCAAGUUUAAAUUACUAAAAUCUAGUACUUUUUG